CGCCAGCGGUACUGUCGGCUCCGAGUGCCACAAAGCCACCUGCGUAUUUCUGGAAUCCCCCGUCGUCCCGUCAAUGUUUACAUCGCAGGAACGAUGCUCAUUUGUUGGCUCAGGGUCACAGAGCCUAUCGCAGCAACUACAACCGCAAGGCAGUGAAUAACUCAGGAUGGAGCACCAACAUCUCAGGACACAAACGCCAGUCACACCUAUGGAGAAUCUGCGUGCUAGGCCCCCGUGUUCUUCCAGUUUCCAGAUGUUUCCAAUCAUGCGUCCUCCAGGAGACUGGCCCCCUCCUAGCCCCUUCACCGCCCAUCCUCGGGGCCCCCAGACGGCAGUCGGGAAUGGGGCACGUUCCCUUGCUUGAGCCCCAUUUCUCCAAACCGUUGCAGUAGAUGCCUUUCAGAAGAGGUCACCCCCUUGCCACAUUAAAAAGCAGAACUUUCAGACCAGGCAUGUUCUCAGUGAUAACUCAUAGCGUACAGAUAUUUUAUUACAUUGAAAACUGAAAUCCAAUUGAAAUUAUUUAUGAAUAAAUUGCCCAUUGUUUGGACACUCUAUCCUUUCUCAUCUCAAUAAAUUGCUAUAGUACAAAUUCAAAAUAUCAAGACAUAUCUUUCAUUCAUACUCCUAAGGCAAGUAUUCCUGUUAUUAUGAAGUUGUUUAUGGAGUUUUUGCAUUUGUUAUGUCUUUAAAGGGUUGGGUUAUCUUGUGAAUUUUUCCAAUUUUUUUCAGUGUUCGUAACUACGGAAAUUUAGUGCAAGCGUGUGGGCAGGAUGGAGAGACAUCUGUAUUUACAUGCCGACACCAUUAAUAAAAGUUAAAAAAGGAAAAUGUUAAAGACACGUGUAUCUUUAAUAUUAUCAAGAACUUUUUCAACAGAUGAGCCACACCCCCCUUUCUGGGUCAGCCCCUGCUUGCAGCUUAAAUCAGCCACAGGUUCCUGGACGACAAGGGACCCCCACCAUCCACCCUGCUCUGCCCCCACCCAUCAUACAGCCCUCUGAUUAUAAACCACUCUUUUAACCCUCAAUCUACACUUAGGGCUAUACCUCAGCCUUGGGAAAUUUUAACCAAUGUGCUGUGACAGGAAUUCUAUGCACAUAUGUGAUCAUUACAUCACACUCCCAUAAAACAGGGAUACGGUAAAAGAUAGAAGUUCUGCCAGUUCAACCACUUGCCAUUAAUAUUUUUGUAAUGUACAAUACUGUGCAAAAGUCUUAAGCAGUGGGAAAAAAUGCUUAAAGCUAUUUAUCUAGCUACGAAGUGUGUAUUUGCACAGAGAAAAACACAAGUUAACAUUAAAAUGUUUGAAAAUGAACAAUAAUAUGAUAAAAGUUCUCCAAAACGUUACUGAUAUCUUGUUGUCCCAAAACUCUCCUCAAGGGCACCUCAUUUCAUUAAUCUUCAUCAUCAGUUCACUUAAUCAAUUAACUUAAUUAGUUAAAUAAGUAACGUGAUGAGGUAUUGAUCAGCCAAACAUGGUGUGCUAGUGGUCAAGAAAACAAAGUUUGUGUUUGUGUUUGGGGGUAGGGAUGUGGGUACGGUCAUUCCAUCCAUAUAAGAUGUUCCAACCUCUUUCGUUGCUUGCCAUUUCAGACCCGGUCCAGUGGGAAGAUCUUUCAACACCUCUCAUUGGUUAGCAUGAGGCAUUAAGCGGGCCUAGCAGGUCGGCCUCAUGCUCCUGCGUAAGUUUGAAGAAGCUGCUGGAAGGACUCCAAAGUGGGGAGGGGCAAGAGAGCUGUCACCAUCCCCUUUGAGCUGGAGCAGAAAGUCGCAGAAGGCCGUUGGAAGGAGAUUAAAAUAAAAUUCUGUUCAGAUGAAGAAUGGAGAGAGGGACACAUUUCAGUAAUACUGAACACGGUCGCCAUGCCAACCAGGACUUGAAGAUUCAAAGCAGGGUGUCCCAGCAGCUUUCUGUGAGUUUCCUUCUGAAGCAUCGCUCCAAAAAAAGUGUUCCUCAAACCAAAACUGCCGCAAGGCCCAAUAUAUCACUUCCUGAUUCCUGAUUCUUAUCGAACAGCUCAGAAAGAUUUUUAGGCAACAUGUUCUGGCUGUUGGAGCUCACCUAAAAACUAUACCUCUAAAUAUAUGACAUUUAAGCCUACAUAUUUGAAGGAAGUUCUGUUACUAUUCUCAGUAGACACAUUUGUAUGGUAUGGCAGUCAGUACUUGUUAAAUUGCAGCUGUAUGGUUCCUGCACUAAAAUGUAUAUGUUAAAAUAGCUCUUGCAAAAACUGCCGGUGUGACAUCACAGGUUUUCAUAAUUUUGUAUUUUUUACCAUAAUUUUCCUUUGUAGAAUAGGGAGGUACAAUGGGUAAAGUCAAUGCAUAUGAGGAUCUAUAUUCAAUGUGUAUGCAUCUAUAUAUAAUAUCUGGCAAACUCAGGUUCUAUGUCUAGUGAGGCCUGUGGUCUACCAUUCCAUGGGUCUUUGCCCAUGGUUGGGUGGUCGUGGGUUCAAGUCCGAUGGCCAGGAGAAUAAUUAUAUCACUAUCGGGCCCUUGAGCAAGGUACUUCACCCCAAUUGCUCCUUCGGACUGACUGACCCUGCUCUCUGAUCCUCAUUUAUAUCAAUGUGUGUCCAGAUUGGGCACACAGUCCUCGGAUUCUCCUGCUCCACCCAUUAUGUCCAGUGAAUCACAUCUGGUGGCUUGGUAUACCUUAUAAGAGUAGGGAAGGAGCAAAGGGUGGCGGAGGAAGCCAAGGUGAAGAAAGGGGUGGAGGAGGAGAAGGAAAAGAAGAAGAAGUUCUGUCCUUACAGCAGGAAACGUAACAUAUUAGUUUUCUGUCCUCUCUCUCCUUUGUCUUUUGUGGGGAUUUGGCCACUGAGUUGUUGCUCAUUGGGAACCGAUUUUAACAUCAAUUGGGCGAUUAUGUAUAUUUAUAUUAAUUUCCAUAAUCUUCAUAAUUUGGGACCUCUUCGCUAGUUGAGUGCCCGCUGAGUCAUCUGUUAA
This is a long non-coding RNA of Brienomyrus brachyistius, 2952 nucleotides long. RefSeq lists it as uncharacterized. The record is from RefSeq and is a predicted model, not a curated record. The transcript has 3 exons. Lineage: Eukaryota; Metazoa; Chordata; Actinopteri; Osteoglossiformes; Mormyridae.